GCCUCAGUACGGCGAGUGAGCGGCAAAGCUCAAUUUGAAAUCUAGCACCUUCGGUCGUUCGAGUUGUAAUUUGAAGAUGGUAACCUUGGGUUUGGCUCUUGUCUAUGUUCCUUGGAACAGGACGUCAUAGAGGGUGAGAAUCCCGUCUGAUGAGAUGCCCAUUCCUAUGUAAGGUGCUAUCGAAGAGUCGAGUUGUUUGGGAAUGCAGCUCUAAGUGGGUGGUAAAUUCCAUCUAAAGCUAAAUAUUGGCGAGAGACCGAUAGCGAACAAGUACAGUGAUGGAAAGAUGAAAAGAACUUUGAAAAGAGAGUGAAAAAGUACGUGAAAUUGUUGAAAGGGAAGGGCAUUAGAUCAGACUUGGUGUUUUACGAUUAUCUUCUCUUCUUGAGUUGUGCACUCGUAUUUCACUGGGCCAGCAUCGAUUCGGAUGGCAAGAUAAUAGCAGUUGAAUGUGGCUUCACUUCGGUGGAGUGUUAUAGCUUCUGUUGAUAUUGCCUGUCUGGAUCGAGGGCUGCGUCUUUUGACUAG
This 528-nucleotide ribosomal RNA is filed under the name Hansenula anomala. RNAcentral's name for it is "eukaryotic LSU rRNA". It matches the Rfam family "Eukaryotic large subunit ribosomal RNA", at positions 77 to 610 of the family's 3401-position model. Lineage: Eukaryota; Fungi; Ascomycota; Saccharomycetes; Phaffomycetales; Wickerhamomycetaceae. The record is from RNAcentral.